RNAcentral lists this microRNA precursor (204 nucleotides) under Oryza glumipatula. RNAcentral's name for it is "MIR812 microRNA precursor family". It matches the Rfam family "MIR812 microRNA precursor family". Lineage: Eukaryota; Viridiplantae; Streptophyta; Magnoliopsida; Poales; Poaceae. The record is from Rfam by way of RNAcentral.
AAUACUGGUCGUUUUGAGUUUUUGUUUAUAAAGUUUGAUCAUUCGUCUUAUUCAAAAAAUUAUGAAAUUAUUAUUAUUUUUGUUUGUGACUUGCAUUAUCAUAAGUAUUUUAAGUAUCACUUAUCCUUUUUUAUAUUUGCACUAAUUUUUUAAAUAAGACGAAUAGUCAAACGUUACAAGAAAAAAUUCAAAGCAACAAUUAAU